GACGAACGCUGGCGGCGUGCUUAACACAUGCAAGUCGAACGGAAAGGCCCUGCUUUUGUGGGGUGCUCGAGUGGCGAACGGGUGAGUAACACGUGAGUAACCUGCCCUUGACUUUGGGAUAACUUCAGGAAACUGGGGCUAAUACCGGAUAUGAGCUCCUGCUGCAUGGUGGUGGUUGGAAAGUUUCGGCGGUUGGGGAUGGACUCGCGGCUUAUCAGCUUGUUGGUGGGGUAGUGGCUUACCAAGGCUUUGACGGGUAGCCGGCCUGAGAGGGUGACCGGCCACAUUGGGACUGAGAUACGGCCCAGACUCCAACGGGCGGCAGCAGUGGGGAAUAUUGCACAAUGGGCGGAAGCCUGAUGCAGCAACGCCGCGUGCGGGAUGACGGCCUUCGGGUUGUAAACCGCUUUCGCAUGUGACGAAGCGUGAGUGACGGUAAUGGGUAAAGAAGCACCGGCUAACUACGUG
This 468-nucleotide ribosomal RNA is filed under the name uncultured bacterium. RNAcentral describes it as "partial 16S ribosomal RNA". It matches the Rfam family "Bacterial small subunit ribosomal RNA", at positions 28 to 507 of the family's 1533-position model. The record is from RNAcentral.